GACGAACGCUGGCGGCGUGCCUAACACAUGCAAGUCGAACGGAACUGUUUUGAAAGAUUUCUUCGGAAUGAAUUUGAUUUAGUUUAGUGGCGGACGGGUGAGUAACGCGUGAGUAACCUGCCUUCAAGAGGGGAAUAACAUUCUGAAAAGAAUGCUAAUACCGCAUGACAUAUCGGAACCACAUGGUUUUGAUAUCAAAGAUUUUAUCGCUUGAAGAUGGACUCGCGUCCGAUUAGUUAGUUGGUGAGGUAACGGCUCACCAAGACCGCGAUCGGUAGCCGGACUGAGAGGUUGAACGGCCACAGUGGGACUGAGACACGGCCCAGACUCCUACGGGAGGCAGCAGUGGGGGAUAUUGCGCAAUGGGGGCAACCCUGACGCAGCAACGCCGCGUGAAGGAGGAAGGUUUUCGGAUUGUAAACUUCUUUUAUUAAGGACGAAAAAUGACGGUACUUAAUGAAUAAGCUCCGGCUAACUACGUG
This 482-nucleotide ribosomal RNA is filed under the name uncultured bacterium. RNAcentral describes it as "partial 16S ribosomal RNA". It matches the Rfam family "Bacterial small subunit ribosomal RNA", at positions 28 to 507 of the family's 1533-position model. The record is from RNAcentral.